This 439-nucleotide ribosomal RNA is filed under the name uncultured bacterium. RNAcentral's name for it is "partial 16S ribosomal RNA". It matches the Rfam family "Bacterial small subunit ribosomal RNA", at positions 339 to 795 of the family's 1533-position model. The record is from RNAcentral.
CUACGGGACGCUGCAGUGAGGAAUAUUGCACAAUGGAGGAAACUCUGAUGCAGCAACGCCGCGUGGAGGAUGACGCAUUUCGGUGUGUAAACUCCUUUUAUAUGUCAAGAAAAUGACGGUAGCAUAUGAAUAAGCACCGGCUAACUCCGUGCCAGCAGCCGCGGUAAUACGGAGGGUGCAAGCGUUACUCGGAAUCACUGGGCGUAAAGGACGCGUAGGCGGGAUAUCAAGUCAGGUGUGAAAUCCUACAGCUUAACUGUAGAACUGCACUUGAAACUUCUAAUCUAGAGUAUGGGAGGGGGAGAUGGAAUUAGUGGUGUAGGGGUAAAAUCCGUAGAUAUCACUAGGAAUACCUAAAGCGAAGGCGAUCUCCUGGAACAUUACUGACGCUAAGGCGUGAAAGCGUGGGGAGCAAACAGGAUUAGAUACCCCCGUAGUC